UCGAGCGAAUGGAUUAAGAGCUUGCUCUUAUGAAGUUAGCGGCGGACGGGUGAGUAACACGUGGGUAACCUGCCCAUAAGACUGGGAUAACUCCGGGAAACCGGGGCUAAUACCGGAUAACAUUUUGAACUGCAUGGUUCGAAAUUGAAAGGCGGCUUCGGCUGUCACUUAUGGAUGGACCCGCGUCGCAUUAGCUAGUUGGUGAGGUAACGGCUCACCAAGGCAACGAUGCGUAGCCGACCUGAGAGGGUGAUCGGCCACACUGGGACUGAGACACGGCCCAGACUCCUACGGGAGGCAGCAGUAGGGAAUCUUCCGCAAUGGACGAAAGUCUGACGGAGCAACGCCGCGUGAGUGAUGAAGGCUUUCGGGUCGUAAAACUCUGUUGUUAGGGAAGAACAAGUGCUAGUUGAAUAAGCUGGCACCUUGACGGUACCUAACCAGAAAGCCACGGCUAACUACGUGCCAGCAGCCGCGGUAAUACGUAGGUGGCAAGCGUUAUCCGGAAUUAUUGGGCGUAAAGCGCGCGCAGGUGGUUUCUUAAGUCUGAUGUGAAAGCCCACGGCUCAACCGUGGAGGGUCAUUGGAAACUGGGAGACUUGAGUGCAGAAGAGGAAAGUGGAAUUCCAUGUGUAGCGGUGAAAUGCGUAGAGAUAUGGAGGAACACCAGUGGCGAAGGCGACUUUCUGGUCUGUAACUGACACUGAGGCGCGAAAGCGUGGGGAGCAAACAGGAUUAGAUACGCUGGUAGUCCACGCCGUAA
RNAcentral lists this ribosomal RNA (763 nucleotides) under Bacillus sp. Y475. Its description in RNAcentral is "bacterial SSU rRNA". It matches the Rfam family "Bacterial small subunit ribosomal RNA", at positions 62 to 805 of the family's 1533-position model. Lineage: Bacteria; Bacillati; Bacillota; Bacilli; Caryophanales; Bacillaceae. The record is from RNAcentral.